UUUCCGUAGGUGAACCUGCGGAAGGAUCAUUCAUAAUAAAGUGUUUUAUGGCACUUUUUAAAAAACCAUAUCCACCUUGUGUGCAAUGUUAGAUCUCGUCAAUCUUGGCGAGAUUUUUAUACAUCAACUCAUUUUUUAACUAAUUUGUCUGAAAAAUAUUAUGAAUACUUAAUUCAAAAUACAACUUUCAACAACGGAUCUCUUGGCUCUC
RNAcentral lists this unclassified non-coding RNA (211 nucleotides) under plant metagenome. RNAcentral describes it as "partial contains small subunit ribosomal RNA, internal transcribed spacer 1, and 5.8S ribosomal RNA". The record is from RNAcentral.